This 465-nucleotide ribosomal RNA is filed under the name uncultured bacterium. RNAcentral describes it as "bacterial SSU rRNA". It matches the Rfam family "Bacterial small subunit ribosomal RNA", at positions 328 to 792 of the family's 1533-position model. The record is from RNAcentral.
UUACCAGGCUCCUACGGGAGGCAGCAGUGGGGAAUAUUGCACAAUGGGGGAAACCCUGAUGCAGCGACGCCGCGUGAGUGAAGAAGUAUUUCGGUCUGUAAAGCUCUAUCAGCAGGGAAGAAAUAGCGACCUUUGGGUCGCCAGACGGUACCUGAUUAAGAAGCCCCGGCUAACUACGUGCCAGCAGCCGCGGUAAUACGUAGGGGGCAAGCGUUAUCCGGAUUUACUGGGUGUAAAGGGGGCGUAGACGGCAAUACAAGUCGGAAGUGAAAUACCCGGGCUCAACCUGGGAACUGCUUUGGAAACUGUAUGGCUAGAGUGCUGGAGAGGUAAGCGGAAUUCCUAGUGUAGCGGUGAAAUGCGUAGAUAUUAGGAGGAACACCAGUGGCGAAGGCGGCUUACUGGACAGUAACUGACGUUGAGGCUCGAAAGCGUGGGGAGCAAACAGGAUUAGAUACCCCCGUA